GGUGAUUUUAUAUAUUUUAUACAUGUUUCGAUCGUAAUUCCCUCGAAAUCGGUUAAGAUAACUCGGGCGAUGCUAAAACUAGUAUGUUCAUUAUGGUUACAAUUAGUACACCGUAAAGCUUUCGCUCUUCGGCCCGAGAUACAAGAUCUCGUUUCAAAAUUGAAAUAUGAAUAUUUCAUUGUGUGUGAGAUUGAAAAAUCUGCUUUCGCUGAUCUUUCAUUUUCUUAAAACAACGCAAUUAAGCGAAUGUUCACAAUCGCACAAUUUGAGUAAAAUGUGCAGAGUAUAGAAUACUAACGCAAGCGAUUACUACAAUCAAAUAUAUGAAACACUGGACAGUUAGUUGUCUAGUGCCCAAAGUAUUGAUUGAGCUUUGCGUUUGGGUAUUAUAUUCAAAAAGAACGCUGUAUUUCACAACGAACUUCGUCAUUCGCUCAAGCAUCUGGCGAUACCGAGCAGAUAUAUAUGGCAGUGCUCUCACACAAUGCUCAAGCACGCUAAGCGGUUGUAAACCGGGUCACGUUGCUUUAGCACACCGCGCAAUAUUUUGCGACUCGCUCCGGUCGAACGUUAAUGAAACGAACUAUCCAUCGUUGCGAGACGCUUUAAGAUUUUAUACGUCGUAGGUUAUACGACAUAUAGCACACGUUUCAUUCACAUAA
This 662-nucleotide unclassified non-coding RNA is filed under the name Ctenocephalides canis (dog flea). RNAcentral's name for it is "sequence contains ITS1". Lineage: Eukaryota; Metazoa; Arthropoda; Insecta; Siphonaptera; Pulicidae. The record is from RNAcentral.